This 460-nucleotide ribosomal RNA is filed under the name uncultured bacterium. Its description in RNAcentral is "partial 16S ribosomal RNA". It matches the Rfam family "Bacterial small subunit ribosomal RNA", at positions 338 to 795 of the family's 1533-position model. The record is from RNAcentral.
CCUACGGGAGGCUGCAGUGAGGAAUCUUGCACAAUGGACGAGAGUCUGAACCAGCCAAGUAGCGUGAAGGAUGACUGCCCUUUGGGUUGUAAACUUCUUUUAUAUGGGAAUAAAACAGGGUAUGCAUACCCUAUUGUAUGUACCAUAUGAAUACGGAUCGGGCAACCCCGUGCAAGCAGCGGUGGUAAUCCGGAGGAGCCGAGCGUUAUCCGGAUUUAUUGGGUGUAAAGGGAGCGUAGGUUGAUUGUUAAGUCAGUUGUGAAAGUUGGCGGCGCAACCGUAAAAUUGCAGUUAAAACUGGCAGGCUUGAGUAAAGUAGUGGUAACCGGAAUUCUUGGUGUAGCAGUGAAAUGCUUAGAUAUCACGAAGAACACCGAUUGCGAAGGCAGGUCACUGGACUGCAACUGACACUGAGGCACGAAAGCGUGGGUAUCAAACAGGAUUAGAUACCCUUGUAGUC